Molecule: long non-coding RNA, 410 nt
Filed under: Zea mays
Lineage: Eukaryota; Viridiplantae; Streptophyta; Magnoliopsida; Poales; Poaceae
Description: drought responsive lncRNA
Source: RNAcentral
ACCAGACUUGAUCAUCUAAUAUCCGAUAAAGUUUAACUUAAAUAUCAUCUAAUAUCCAUCAAAGUUAAUCUAUCCAUCAUCCCACACAUAAGAUCAUCUCCAUUCACACGUACAAAUAGAUAAUAUAACAUAGAAACAGAGUACAAGUCCCUUCAUUAUAAACUUUGACACUAGACUAAAUUGAGUUUGACUCCUUUUUUACAAGCUUCAUGUGGAGUGUCGUUCCAUCUUCCUUUUCCAUGUCAGCUUCAUAUGUUGCUUCCACUUAACACUCUGAGAAGGCGAAGUUGCUAGAUCUGAGCUGAUGAUGAUGACAAAGGAGACGACGGCAUGCUCGGAAGAGUUGUGAACAGAAACGAUGUCAUGCUCGGGAGAGCUGCCUGAUGUCUGUAGGCCGGCCCAAUAUCCCC